UCCUCGGUAGCUCAAUCGGCAGAGCAUCUGACUGUUAAUCAGAGGGUUCCUGGUUCGAGUCCAGGCCGAGGAGCCA
Molecule: transfer RNA, 76 nt
Filed under: Pseudomonadota bacterium
Lineage: Bacteria; Pseudomonadati; Pseudomonadota
Also listed under: 1 other name
Description: tRNA-Asn
Rfam family: tRNA
About the family: Transfer RNA (tRNA) molecules are approximately 80 nucleotides in length. Their secondary structure includes four short double-helical elements and three loops (D, anti-codon, and T loops).
Source: RNAcentral